AGCGUAUAGAAGAUCUUUAUCUAUACUAUCUAUAAUAUAUAUAUAAAAGCGUAUAGAAAAAAUCUUACAAUGACAGAUGGAAUAAAAAUAAAAAUAAAAGAAUAUUCCCUACUUUUAUGAUCAAUUUGUUAGAAAAUAUUUCAAAUAAGAACGAACUGUUAUGAUCAAUUUGUUAAAAAAUAUCUUAAAUAAAAAUAAAUGAUUAUGAUCAAUCUAUUAAAAUAGCAUACAUAUACAUCUAUUUUACAUUAAAACUAACACUACAACAAAAACGGCCUAUAGCGACACUUUUAAAUAUAGAUACAUAUCAAAAAAGUGCUGCUAGCUAAAAUUACCGACACUUUUAAAAAGUGUUGCUAUAUGUAGGGUCGCUAGGUAUAUAGUAACAGUUAAAGAGUGUCGCUAUAACUUAAAAGAGUGCUGCUAAUUUACCAACACUUAUUUAAGCAUUUAGCAACCGCCGAAACUCUAUCUCGUUGGCUGCGGUGGCGGAGGAGGACGACAGGAAAGGCUCUUCGUCUAGAAUUUCAAUGGAUUGAGUGAAGAGAGAAGAAAAGAUGGCAAUUGAUUUUUUUUUUUUUUUUUUUUGUAAUCGGGCCAAAUGGAUUGAGUGUGGUGGGUUGAGUAGAGUAAUUUUUUAUUUUUAGUUGGAUUGGGCUUUAUAUUUAGGCAUUAGCAGAUAUUUUUUUAAGUUUUAGCAUAAAUGGGACACUUACUCAAAAGUGUCCCAAACAUGUGUCCCUAUAGCCUAAUUAUGUUGUAGUGUAAAUUUAUUUUUAAAAUCAUAAUAAAAUCCAUCAAGUGGGUAUAAAAUAAAUGGUCGAAAUUGCACGACCUCCUAAAAAUUAAGGAUUAGAUUCUAUAAUUUAAGAUCGGAGUUAGAGAUCACUCUCUCGAUAGUGAAUAAAAUUUUCUAGCAAAAAUUCAAUCGAUUUUAAUUCUUUUACACCGUUAAACUAGCGAGCAUUCCAUAUCGACCGUUAAAAAAUGUCAACUUUGAGAUCUUUUGAUCGUAAGGUAGAUAAUGCCGAAAAAUUAUGAUAUUUAAUUUCUAAAAGUUUUAAAUGCUUUAAAUUAUGUUUAACGAUAAAAAUCACCAAUUCAAAUACUCUAUCAUUGAAACAACUAAUGAGUACGAAGUCAAUCGUACUCAUAAGAGUAUAUCAGCUGAACUCAUUGCAGAUAUUUCUAAUAAAAUAUAAUAUACAAAUUUAUAAAAUAUAAUUUUUAUUAUAAAUUUUUGGAUAAAUAUGAUUUACAAAUUUAUAUUGAUAUGAAUUAAAUUAAAAUAAUUGUUACGUACAUUUGCACGUAAACUCAAUUAGUUUU
This 1329-nucleotide long non-coding RNA is filed under the name Ananas comosus (pineapple). RNAcentral describes it as "long non-coding RNA (ACOM_LNC034772)". Lineage: Eukaryota; Viridiplantae; Streptophyta; Magnoliopsida; Poales; Bromeliaceae. The record is from RNAcentral.